UAUACAACCUCAACUCAUAUGGGACUACCCCCUAAAUUUAAGCAU
RNAcentral lists this ribosomal RNA (45 nucleotides) under Lucilia illustris. RNAcentral's name for it is "partial 28S ribosomal RNA". Lineage: Eukaryota; Metazoa; Arthropoda; Insecta; Diptera; Calliphoridae. The record is from RNAcentral.